RNAcentral lists this ribosomal RNA (425 nucleotides) under uncultured bacterium. RNAcentral's name for it is "bacterial SSU rRNA". It matches the Rfam family "Bacterial small subunit ribosomal RNA", at positions 354 to 796 of the family's 1533-position model. The record is from RNAcentral.
GUGGGGAAUAUUGCACAAUGGGGGAAACCCUGAUGCAGCAACGCCGCGUGAGUGAAGAAGGUCUUCGGAUCGUAAAGCUCUGUCUUUGGGGACGAUAAUGACGGUACCCAAAGAGGAAGCCACGGCUAACUACGUGCCAGCAGCCGCGGUAAUACGUAGGUGGCAAGCGUUGUCCGGAAUUACUGGGCGUAAAGGAUGCGUAGGCGGAUAUGUAAGUCAGAUGUGAAAUACCCGAGCUCAACUUGGGUGCUGCAUUUGAAACUGCAUGUCUAGAGUGCGGGAGAGGAAAGUGGAAUUCCUAGUGUAGCGGUGAAAUGCGUAGAGAUUAGGAAGAACACCAGUGGCGAAGGCGACUUUCUGGACCGUAACUGACGCUGAGGCAUGAAAGCGUGGGUAGCAAACAGGAUUAGAAACCCUAGUAGUCC